Gossypium raimondii (Peruvian cotton) is the source of this 119-nucleotide non-coding RNA. The record is from Rfam. NCBI's taxonomy places the organism in Eukaryota, Viridiplantae, Streptophyta, Magnoliopsida, Malvales, Malvaceae.
GGGUGCGAUCAUACCAGCACUAAUGCACUGGAUCCAAUCAGAACUCCGCAGGUAAGCGUUCUUUGGCGAGAGUAGUACUAGGAUGGGUGACCUCCUAGGAAGUCGUCGUGUUGCACCCC